GGGCCCGUAGCUCAGGUGGUUAGAGCACUCGACUCAUAAUCGAAGGGUCGCAGGUUCGAGUCCUGCCGGGCCCA
Molecule: transfer RNA, 74 nt
Filed under: Gemmatimonadales bacterium
Lineage: Bacteria; Pseudomonadati; Gemmatimonadota; Gemmatimonadia; Gemmatimonadales
Also listed under: 2 other names
Description: tRNA-Met
Rfam family: tRNA
About the family: Transfer RNA (tRNA) molecules are approximately 80 nucleotides in length.
Source: RNAcentral